Molecule: long non-coding RNA, 1023 nt
Organism: Hemicordylus capensis (graceful crag lizard)
Lineage: Eukaryota; Metazoa; Chordata; Lepidosauria; Squamata; Cordylidae
Exons: 3
Source: RefSeq, a predicted model, not a curated record
GUUCUCUGAUCGGGUGUCAAGGUACUGAUCGGGUGUCAAGAAGAUGCAGGGCUGGGACUGGGCCGGUCCUGUCUCCUCAGAUUCUGGUCUGGUGUCAAGAUCCAGGACUGGAGUUGCUGCUGGUCCUACCUCCUUAGCAUCUGAGUUAGAGUCACUACUGUGAUAAAGGACUGUGUGGAUCUGGGCCAUGACACUUUGGACCCUUCUUCCUACAGGAAAAAGAUGCAAGGAUCCUAUAUAUAUUCUCUCUCAUGGACAGGAAAGCAGUGAAGAAGGAGGAGGUCUCUAUUGGAAUUCUCCUGCUGCUGCUUCUGUGCCCUUCUCACCAUGGGCCAUGUCUUUAAAUAGCCCUCGACAGGCUUCACAGAUCUCACAAGAGGACAAAAUCCAGUCGCAUGGGAUUUGAACUUCGGUGAAAUCUCAGCCCGGUUUUCAGACUUCCUGAGCCUCUCCCUGGCCUUCACCCAUCACUGCCCUAUCUUUGCACGACCAGGCCUCUGACAUCAGCAAGGAAAGCUUUCUCUUCUGUGACAUCUGCAGGUCUCAUCCAGCAGGCAGAGAAAACAGCGGCGAUGGGAGGGAGGGAGGAAGAAGAAGGCAGUGUGCAGGUGAGAAAACUACUGUGGCGGACAGGCAGCGGAGAGGGCAAUGUGGCCUCUCUGGCUGGCCUGCCAGCCAAAAGGAAGGAUGGCCAGCUGCCAGGUGGAAGGAGGUGGCUGGCCAGCCAGUAGGCUGGCGAAACCAGCAGGCGGGAGGCAGAGAGGGCGGCACACUCCCUCUCCAGCUCGCCUGCCAGCCAAAAGGAAAGAUGACCCAGCCACCAGGUGGAAGAAGGUGGCAACUGGCCGGCGGGCGAAACUGGCGGAGAGGGUGGCGCACUCCCUCUCUGCCAGCUGAAAAGAAGGAUGGCCCGGCCGGUGGGUGGAAGAAGGUGGUGGCCGGCGGAAGAAGAGAAGGCACUUCCUCUCUGGCCCACCUGCUGGCCAAAAGGAAGGAUGGCCCGACGGCAGGAGCAUUGAGGGU